AUGGUUAAGUGACUAAGCGUACACGGUGGAUGCCUUGGCAGUCAGAGGCGAUGAAAGACGUAUUAACUUGCGAUAAGCCCAGAUUAGGUAGUAAAAACCAUUUGAGUCUGGGAUUUCUGAAUGGGGAAACCCACGUGCAUAAGCACGUAUCACUACAUGAAUACAUAGUGUAGUGAGGCGAACCGGGAGAACUGAAACAUCUAAGUACCCCGAGGAAGAGAAAUCAACCGAGAUCCCGAAAGUAGCGGCGAGCGAAAUUGGGUUAGCCCUUAAGCUUUUAAUGAGACAGGUGAAGGCUCUGGAAAGUGCCGCGAUACAGGGUGAUAGCCCCGUAACCGACAUCUCAUCAUCAGUGAAAACGAGUAAGGCGGGACACGUG
Molecule: ribosomal RNA, 379 nt
Filed under: Aliivibrio fischeri SR5
Lineage: Bacteria; Pseudomonadati; Pseudomonadota; Gammaproteobacteria; Vibrionales; Vibrionaceae
Description: bacterial LSU rRNA
Rfam family: Bacterial large subunit ribosomal RNA
Source: RNAcentral